RNAcentral lists this ribosomal RNA (216 nucleotides) under Glomeromycotina sp. RNAcentral's name for it is "partial small subunit ribosomal RNA". The stretch from base 40 to 216 matches the Rfam family "Eukaryotic small subunit ribosomal RNA", at positions 686 to 864 of the family's 1831-position model. Lineage: Eukaryota; Fungi; Glomeromycota. The record is from RNAcentral.
GGGCCAGUAGGUUGGUCGUGCCACCGGUACGUACUGGUCUCACUGAUUCCUCCUUCCUGAAGAACCGUAAUGCCAUUAAUUUGGUGUUGCGGGGAAACAGGACUGUUACUUUGAAAAAAUUAGUGUGUUUAAAGCAAGCUAACGCUUGAAUACAUUAGCAUGGAAUAAUGAAAUAGGACGAUCGAUCCUAUUUUGUUGGUUUCUAGGAUUGACGUA